RNAcentral lists this ribosomal RNA (497 nucleotides) under uncultured bacterium. Its description in RNAcentral is "partial 16S ribosomal RNA". It matches the Rfam family "Bacterial small subunit ribosomal RNA", at positions 28 to 507 of the family's 1533-position model. The record is from RNAcentral.
GAUGAACGCUGGCGGCGUGCCUAAUACAUGCGAGUCGAGCGAACAGACGAGGAGCUUGCUCCUCUGACGUUAGCGGCGGACGGGUGAGUAACACGUGGAUAACCUACCUAUAAGACUGGGAUAACUUCGGGAAACCGGAGCUAAUACCGGAUAAUAUAUUGAACCGCAUGGUUCAAUAGUGAAAGACGGUUUUGCUGUCACUUAUAGAUGGAUCCGCGCCGCAUUAGCUAGUUGGUAAGGUAACGGCUUACCAAGGCAACGAUGCGUAGCCGACCUGAGAGGGUGAUCGGCCACACUGGAACUGAGACACGGUCCAGACUCCUACGGGAGGCAGCAGUAGGGAAUCUUCCGCAAUGGGCGAAAGCCUGACGGAGCAACGCCGCGUGAGAGAUGAAGGUCUUCGGAUCGUAAAACUCUGUUAUUAGGGAAGAACAAAUGUGUAAGUAACUAUGCACGUCUUGACGGUACCUAAUCAGAAAGCCACGGCUAACUACGUG